UGCUCGUGCUUGGCAAGCAUCGUGCCACA
This 29-nucleotide non-coding RNA is filed under the name Rattus norvegicus (Norway rat). The record is from RNAcentral. Lineage: Eukaryota; Metazoa; Chordata; Mammalia; Rodentia; Muridae.